Molecule: non-coding RNA, 78 nt
Organism: Schistosoma haematobium
Lineage: Eukaryota; Metazoa; Platyhelminthes; Trematoda; Strigeidida; Schistosomatidae
Source: Rfam
AGCUUUUCGAAUCCGUGCCGAGAUUUCGUCAGACACCAACCUACUAGGGUUGCUCAGACUUCCAAGAUAAGUGAAGUU